CACUUGGUGGCCAGGGUGGGAGAGGUCUCUCUGCUCCUGUCUCUGUGGUGCCAGGCACAGAGAAUUGCAGGGAGCUCCAAGGAGAUGGCUGCCACCAGGAUCUUGUCUUGGCUGGUGAUGAUAAUUCUUCACAUUCAGGUGCAUGCAGAAACAAGUGGUCCCCCAACAACUCCUGACCACACGACUAGUAAGUAGAACUUACCAGAUUGCUACUUUAUAUAAUAGUGACAGAUUUAUGUUUUGUCAUAGUAUUUAUUCUUGGGAACAAAUUAGUAUGAUUAAAAAGCUCAUGUUUUCUUUAGGAUGGGGAUGGAGAUGUACAUGAGAAGUAAAUUAUUUGGGAGGCAGGAAUUUGGGGAUGGCUUUGCUCUCCAGCAAUCAGUCUCCUUGCUAGAAGUAAGCUCUUCUACCAAUUGUGCCCUUCAGUGGGAUCUUGACUCACUGAAGGAAGGGUAGAGAGCACUGACAGAGCUCCCAAAGACUUGGUCCUAAUUCUCUUGAUCUCUGUGUUUUUU
Cyanistes caeruleus (blue tit) is the source of this 515-nucleotide non-coding RNA. Lineage: Eukaryota; Metazoa; Chordata; Aves; Passeriformes; Paridae. The record is from RefSeq and is a predicted model, not a curated record.